GAUGAACGCUAGCGGCAGGCCUAAUACAUGCAAGCCGAACGGCAAGUCUGAUAGCAAUAUUAGACCUAGAGUGGCGUAAGGGUGCGUAAACACGUAUGCAAUCUACCCGCAACAGGAGGAUAGCUCGGGGAAACUCGAAUUAACCCUCCAUAAGAUCUUAGACCGGCAUCGGUUAGAGAUUAAAUCUGAGGAGGUUGCGGAUGAGCAUGCGUCUGAUUAGCUAGUUGGCGGGGUAAUGGCCCACCAAGGCGAUGAUCAGUAGGGGAACUGAGAGGUUGAUCCCCCACACUGGCACUGAGAUACGGGCCAGACUCCUACGGGAGCAGCAGUAGGGAAUAUUGGACAAUGGGUGGAAGCCUGAUCCAGCCAUGCCGCGUGCAGGAAGAAGGCCCUUCUGGGUUGUAAACUGCUUUUAUCUGGGGAUAAAAAGGCCUUGCGAGGCAAACUGAAGGUACCAGAUGAAUAAGCCACGGCUAAACUGCGUGCCAG
Molecule: ribosomal RNA, 489 nt
Filed under: uncultured bacterium
Lineage: Bacteria
Description: bacterial SSU rRNA
Rfam family: Bacterial small subunit ribosomal RNA
Source: RNAcentral